This 468-nucleotide ribosomal RNA is filed under the name uncultured bacterium. RNAcentral's name for it is "partial 16S ribosomal RNA". It matches the Rfam family "Bacterial small subunit ribosomal RNA", at positions 28 to 507 of the family's 1533-position model. The record is from RNAcentral.
GACGAACGCUGGCGGCGUGCUUAACACAUGCAAGUCGAACGGAAAGGCCCUUCUUUUGUGGGGUGCUCGAGUGGCGAACGGGUGAGUAACACGUUUGUAACCUGCCCUUGACUUUGGGAUAACGUCAUGAAACUUGGGCUAAUACCGGGUAGGAGCUCCUGCUGCAUGGUGGGCGUUGGAAAGUUUCGGCGGUUGGUGAUGGACUCGCGGCUUAUCAGCUUGUUGGUGGGGUAGUGGCUUACCAAGGCUUUGACGGGUAGCCGACCUGAGAGGGUCACCGGCGAAAUUGCACCGGGACUGAGGCACAGACUCGUCUGCGACGCAGCAGUGGGGAGUAUAGCACGAUGGGAGGAAGGCUGAUGCAGCAACGCCGCGUGCGGGAUGACGGCAUUCGGGUUGUAAACCGCUUUCGCCUGUGACGAAGAGUGAGUGACGGUAAUAGGUAAAGAAGCCCCGGCUAACUACGUG